UUUGAUGUCAAGUGUCGGCCUAUGGGUUAUUGCUCAUUACGUCAGGGAUAAUGCUCUGUUUCUGCUCUUUUGUUGUCUUCUGUGUUUCCGAAGCCAUGCAUUUUUCUUGACCUGGUUCGGGGCAGAAAAUGUAUGUCAGUCAUCAUCUGAAUGGUUCAUGCCGUCAACUAGCCAACCUGUGACUGUCCACGCAACUCUUAAAGAACACUUUCAACCCGUGUGGUCAUCGGUUUCGUCCGCCCCACUAAGGUCGAUUCAUGACCAGUUCACUGUUUAGGUCAGUGCUGCGCUGAAGUCAUGUUCAUUUUAAUGCACUAUAUGCUCAAGAAUGUUUCCCCCCCAGUAUCUAUCCAUGUAACUGUGUUUUGUUUGUGGACGUUUCUCUGCAUUUAAUUCACGAGAACCGAAUGCAUAUGAAAGCUGUAUCCUGAAGGGACCAUUCUUAACUUCCUGUUUGUGAUUCAGUCUCCACUAUUUGAACAACAGGAAAUAUGUUGGGGAUUCACUAGGAGAAAAAGAAGUCACUCAAUUUCUUUCAUCUCACUCUUGCAUAUUAUGGAUUUUAAACAAAAUAGCUUGCUGGUGGAGGUCUGUAGAUGAGGAAAGACAGUGUAACCUACUGUAUUAAUCUUUAUGUAUGUGGAGGAUGACUUGUUGCUUAGAGGGAGGGCUGAAUAGGCCUGAGCUGAGAUACUGUCCCGAGGGGGGUUGUGAAAACACUAAAAUGUCCCUGUCCUGGAGGAUCUCACCAUCAAUGUGAUUCCUGUAAGCAGUUGGCUGACUGUUUUCUAUGUAUAUAAAUAAAUAAGUAAAAGAAAAAAUAAUAUUCCUAGAUAAGGAGUCUAUGGUGUAUAAAGACCAAACUGGUUGGACUAUGUAGCAUCUUAAUAAAUUAAAUGAAUAAAGCCCCUACCUAAAUCUGUGUCAGGUUAUUUUCUCUGCUCAGUGAGCCAACCGUUCCAAGCUUGUCGUACUGUCUAAAGAAGCCGAGUGACACGUCCAGUGACCACUUGAAUCUAGCUGUCAUCAGUAAAUGUGCAAAUUGUUUGCCGUCUGUCUAGCUCAUCUUUUCCCAGGGAGGACAGUUGGAUGACUGCACAUUCAUGGUCAAGGGAUUUCUGCAUUAAAUAUUGGAGAGUGAAAUGUCACCUUAAAUGACUGUUUUCCAUCACAGCCAAUAAACUACAGCUACAUCAACA
Molecule: long non-coding RNA, 1199 nt
Organism: Esox lucius (northern pike)
Lineage: Eukaryota; Metazoa; Chordata; Actinopteri; Esociformes; Esocidae
Source: Ensembl